GUGUCAGCAGCCGCGGUAAGACGAACCGUGCGAACGUUGUUCGGAAUCACUGGGCUUAAAGGGCGCGUAGGCGGAUUCCUCAGUCUGUGGUGAAAGCCUCCAGCUUAACUGGAGAAGUGCCGUGGAUACUGGGAGUCUUGAGGAGGGUAGGGGCAUCUGGAACAGCCGGUGGAGCGGUGAAAUGCGUUGAUAUCGGCUGGAACUCCGGUGGCGAAGGCGAGGUGCUGGACCCUUUCUGACGCUGAGGCGCGAAAGCCAGGGGAGCGAACGGGAUUAGAAACCCUUGUAGUCC
RNAcentral lists this ribosomal RNA (292 nucleotides) under uncultured bacterium. RNAcentral's name for it is "partial 16S ribosomal RNA". It matches the Rfam family "Bacterial small subunit ribosomal RNA", at positions 505 to 796 of the family's 1533-position model. The record is from RNAcentral.